UGGGAACAUGCCCUUCGGUUCGGAAUAACUCAGGGAAACUGAGCUAAUACCGGAUACGUCCGUAAGGAGAAAGAUUUAUCGCCGAAGGAUUGGCCCGCGUCCGAUUAGCUUGUUGGUGAGGUAAUGGCUUACCAAGGCGACGACGGGUAGCCGGCCUGAGAGGGUGACCGGCCACACUGGGACUGAGACACGGCCCAGACUCCUACGGGAGGCAG
RNAcentral lists this ribosomal RNA (215 nucleotides) under uncultured bacterium. RNAcentral's name for it is "partial 16S ribosomal RNA". It matches the Rfam family "Bacterial small subunit ribosomal RNA", at positions 118 to 351 of the family's 1533-position model. The record is from RNAcentral.